GGCUCAGGAUGAACGCUAGCGGCAGGCUUAANACAUGCAAGUCGAGGGGUAUAGUUCUUCGGAAUUAGAGACCGGCGCACGGGUGCGUAACGCGUAUGCAAUCUACCUUUCACAGAGGGAUAGCCCAGAGAAAUUUGGAUUAAUACCUCAUAGUAUAGCAGUUUCGCAUGAAACCACUAUUAAAGUCACAACGGCAAAAGAUGAGCAUGCGUCCCAUUAGCUAGUUGGUAAGGUAACGGCUUACCAAGGCUACGAUGGGUAGGGGUCCUGAGAGGGAGAUCCCCCACACUGGUACUGAGACACGGACCAGACUCCUACGGGAGGCAGCAGUGAGGAAUAUUGGACAAUGGGCGCAAGCCUGAUCCAGCCAUGCCGCGUGCAGGAUGACGGUCCUAUGGAUUGUAAACUGCUUUUACACAGGAAGAAACAACGCUACGUGUAGCGUCUUGACGGUACUGUGAGAAUAAGGAUCGGCUAACUCCGUG
RNAcentral lists this ribosomal RNA (485 nucleotides) under uncultured bacterium. RNAcentral's name for it is "bacterial SSU rRNA". It matches the Rfam family "Bacterial small subunit ribosomal RNA", at positions 21 to 507 of the family's 1533-position model. The record is from RNAcentral.